GAUGAACGCUGGCGGCGUGCCUAAUACAUGCAAGUCGAGCGAACAGACGAGGAGCUUGCUCCUCUGACGUUAGCGGCGGACGGGUGAGUAACACGUGGAUAACCUACCUAUAAGACUGGGAUAACUUCGGGAAACCGGAGCUAGUACCGGAUAAUAUAUUGAACUGCAUGGUUCAAUAGUGAAAGACGGUUUUGCUGUCACUUAUAGAUGGAUCCGCGCCGCAUUAGCUAGUUGGUAAGGUAACGGCUUACCAAGGCGACGAUGCGUAGCCGACCUGAGAGGGUGAUCGGCCACACUGGAACUGAGACACGGUCCAGACUCCUACGGGAGGCAGCAGUAGGGAAUCUUCCGCAAUGGGCGAAAGCCUGACGGAGCAACGCCGCGUGAGUGAUGAAGGUCUUCGGAUCGUAAAACUCUGUUAUUAGGGAAGAACAAAUGUGUAAGUAACUAUGCACGUCUUGACGGUACCUAAUCAGAAAGCCACGGCUAACUACGUG
RNAcentral lists this ribosomal RNA (497 nucleotides) under uncultured bacterium. RNAcentral's name for it is "partial 16S ribosomal RNA". It matches the Rfam family "Bacterial small subunit ribosomal RNA", at positions 28 to 507 of the family's 1533-position model. The record is from RNAcentral.